GGCGGUUUGAUCCUGGCUCAGAACGAACGCUGGCGGCAUGCCUAACACAUGCAAGUCGAACGCGUGUAGCAAUACACGAGUGGCGCACGGGUGAGUAACGCGUGGGAACCUGCCCUGGAGUGUGGGAUAACCCGGCGAAAGCCGGGCUAAUACCGCAUACGACCUGAGGGUGAAAGAUUUAUCGCUCUAGGAGGGGCCCGCGUCGGAUUAGCUAGUUGGUGGGGUAAUGGCCUACCAAGGCGAUGAUCCGUAGCUGGUCUGAGAGGAUGAUCAGCCACACUGGGACUGAGACACGGCCCAGACUCCUACGGGAGGCAGCAGUGGGGAAUAUUGGACAAUGGGGGCAACCCUGAUCCAGCAAUGCCGCGUGAGUGAUGAAGGCCUUAGGGUUGUAAAGCUCUUUCGGCGGGGACGAUGAUGACGGUACCCGCAGAAGAAGCCCCGGCUAACUUCGUGCCAGCAGCCGCGGUAAUAACCUAAAUAGC
This 485-nucleotide ribosomal RNA is filed under the name uncultured bacterium. RNAcentral describes it as "bacterial SSU rRNA". It matches the Rfam family "Bacterial small subunit ribosomal RNA", at positions 1 to 535 of the family's 1533-position model. The record is from RNAcentral.